RNAcentral lists this ribosomal RNA (460 nucleotides) under uncultured bacterium. RNAcentral's name for it is "partial 16S ribosomal RNA". It matches the Rfam family "Bacterial small subunit ribosomal RNA", at positions 338 to 795 of the family's 1533-position model. The record is from RNAcentral.
CCUACGGGUGGCAGCAGUGAGGAAUAUUGGUCAAUGGGCGGAAGCCUGAACCAGCCAAGUCGCGUGAGGGAUUAAGGCCCUGCGGGUCGUAAACCUCUUUUGCCGGGGAGCAGAGGUCCGGACGUGUCCGGGCCGGGAGAGUACCCGGAGAAAAAGCAUCGGCUAACUCCGUGCCAGCAGCCGCGGUAAUACGGAGGAUGCGAGCGUUAUCCGGAUUUAUUGGGUUUAAGGGGUGCGUAGGCGGGCGUUAAGGCCGGCGGUCAAAUGUCGGGGCUCAACCCCGGCCUGCAGUCGGUACUGGGUGCCUUGAGUGGGCGAGAAGUAGGCGGAAUGCGUGGUGUAGCGGUGAAAUGCAUAGAUAUCACGCAGAACCCCGAUUGCGAAGGCAGCAUACCGGCGCCCUACUGACGCUGAGGCACGAAAGUGCGGGUAUCGAACAGGAUUAGAUACCCUAGUAGUC